RNAcentral lists this small nuclear RNA (327 nucleotides) under Saimiri boliviensis boliviensis (Bolivian squirrel monkey). RNAcentral describes it as "7SK RNA (ENSSBOG00000007198.1)". It matches the Rfam family "7SK RNA". From Rfam's summary of the family: 7SK was discovered as an abundant small nuclear RNA in the mid-70s but a possible function has only recently been suggested. The record is from Rfam by way of RNAcentral. Lineage: Eukaryota; Metazoa; Chordata; Mammalia; Primates; Cebidae.
GGAGGUAAGGGUGAUCUGGCUGUGACCUCCGUCACCCCACUGAUCAAAGAGUUGAUUCAGCUGAUCCAGAUGGCUAGGAAGGUAUCCCCUUCCUCCCUCAUCACUCCAUGUAAGUCCCUCCCAAAGCUGUGCACUUGGUUGAAGAGGAGCUUCUCUGAUAGAGGACUGUUCAUCAGACAAGGGUAUAUGAGUGGCUGUGCUCCCCUGCUAGAACCUCCCAACAAGCUCUCAAAGCAGAACCAAGUCUAUAUUUUUAAAAGUGCUUAAACUGAAGUGUGGGGAUGAUGAAAGAUAACCAUUUAAGAAAUGUGGAAUAAUAAAUAGCUU